This 352-nucleotide unclassified non-coding RNA is filed under the name soil metagenome. RNAcentral's name for it is "partial contains 5.8S ribosomal RNA, internal transcribed spacer 2, and large subunit ribosomal RNA". The stretch from base 3 to 120 matches the Rfam family "5.8S ribosomal RNA", at positions 37 to 154 of the family's 154-position model. The record is from RNAcentral.
GCUGAAGAACGCAGCGAAAUGCGAUAAGUAAUGUGAAUUGCAGAAUUCAGUGAAUCAUCGAAUCUUUGAACGCACAUUGCGCCCGCCAGUAUUCUGGCGGGCAUGCCUGUUCGAGCGUCAUUACAACCCUCAGGCCCCCGGGCCUGGCGUUGGGGAUCGGCGGAGCCCCCCGUGGGCACACGCCGUCCCCCAAAUGCAGUGGCGGUCCCGCCGCAGCUUCCAUCGCGUAGUAGCUAACACCUCGCGACUGGAGAGCGGCGCGGCCACGCCGUAAAACACCCAACUCUUCUGAAGUUGACCUCGAAUCAGGUAGGAAUACCCGCUGAACUUAAGCAUAUCAAUAAGCGGAGGA